UCCGACUUAACGUCGGCAGUCUCGCCAGAGUGCUCAGCUUGCCUGUUAGCAACUGACGACAGAGGUGGCGCUCGUUGCGGGACUUAACCCAACAUCUCACGACACGAGCUGACGACAGCCAUGCAGCACCUGUGCACGAUCUCCGAAGAGGGGCUCUCGUUUCUGAGAGCUUGCUCGUGCAUGUCAAGCCUAGGUAAGGUUCUUCGCGUUGCGUCGAAUUAAACCACAUGCUCCACCGCUUGUGCGGGCCCCCGUCAAUUCCUUUGAGUUUCAACCUUGCGGUCGUACUCCCCGGGCGGGACGCUUAAUGCGUUAGCUGCGCCACUGAUAAGCAUGCUUACCAACGGCUAGCAUCCAUCGUUUACGGCGUGGACUAC
This 377-nucleotide unclassified non-coding RNA is filed under the name uncultured bacterium. RNAcentral's name for it is "contains 16S-23S intergenic spacer region". The record is from RNAcentral.